Molecule: long non-coding RNA, 2355 nt
Organism: Antechinus flavipes (yellow-footed antechinus)
Lineage: Eukaryota; Metazoa; Chordata; Mammalia; Dasyuromorphia; Dasyuridae
Exons: 4
Source: RefSeq, a predicted model, not a curated record
CUUCCUGGGAGCAGGUGUUCCAAGGGAGGGCUGCGGGGGAGGGGUGGUCCCCAGCACCAUCAGGCUUUCCUUGGGCACAUAUUGGCCAGGCUGACAAAACGGCCUAAGGAUCGCUGCCAGCUUGUGUCCAGGGAGGCCGCAGGUUGGACACAGGGAGUGGAGGCUGUUCUUUCCCAAGGGAGCAGCUGGCUGCAGAUCAAAGAGAAGUGGAUGCUGGCUUGCCUGUGGGAGUGGAAUUGGGCCAGAGGGAGUUGAAAGCCCCCAGAGGGGGGAAAGAUGAUGUGCCCUUUCGUUCUUUAGCAUGGGGCUGUCCCUGGGAACUCUGAGAAGGUGGCUAAGAGUCGGGGAGCUUGGAGAGCAGGGCUGUGGUGCCUAAGGGUAAACGUGCAGCAGCCCCAUAGCUGAUUGGGCAAGUCUGUGACCUCUCAGGGGGGAUGAGUGCCCCUCUGAUGUCCUUUUCCCAACAUUACAGACGACUCUCUGCGUGGGGCCACGGCUUGCAGUCAAUCUCGAAUUUCCCCUGCACCCUUCAUGGUGAAGUCCUGGCUGGCCGGAUUCCCCUUUCUUUGCCGUUCUGUUGUCCCAGUGAGCAUGGGAGCCCCUGGAAUCAGUAUAGAAGUUCCCUCUCAGUCUUUUCCCCAUUUUCAAGCUUUGUGGAGGACAAUGAGCUCGCCUUCUGAGCAGAGAUUCCCCAGGGAAGCGGUUUAGCCUCCAAAGUCCUUCUGAGCGUCACCAUGGAGUCUCGUAGCUUUCUGUGCCCAUCUUCCCCAAAACUGGACCCAUCAGUGAACCAUUCGCCAUGUAGGUUGUGGAGAGAAGCAUCUCACCUAGAGCAGACAAUGUAAAGUUUCCUCACUGCUACGAAUAAUAGCACUGGACUGUGUAGGGUCAGGAAACAGGGCGGCAGGUGACGAGGGGGACACAGGCAGAGAAUUAAAUUGGGAGGAUCUACUAGGAGGGCCCGAUAGUGGAUUAGCCUUUGCUAGCCAGCAACAGAGAUGGGUUGGAGCUUCUAGAAUGUUCUGAAGCCCCUGGGCAGUUUUCUAAAUGGUUCAUAACUGUUGGUCAGUAACUGUUUUUAACUACUGUUCAAAACUGUCCAAGCUUUCCCCACAGCUGGGUCUGGGGAAAUUGUGGUCCUAUGGUUAUCUUGUACAACUUUUUCUGAAUGUCUGGAGCAGCCGAAGUAAUCACACAUGUUGAGGACAGUGGUCCCUUCAGGAGAAGAGCAGUCCAGGAAAUCUGCAGCUCAAUGGGGAGAAGAAACAGGAUACUUCCCAAGGGGAAGAAGAUGGACAUUCAGUGAAACAGGUGAAUUCCAUUUAUUACUGAUGAAAAGACCAGAGCUAAACAAAAAAUUUGACCUCCAAAUACAGAACUCAAGAGCAGCAUAAAAAGACUUGGACCUGCUGUUUGGCAGAAGGCUCUGCCAACAGGCCCUGGGGGAUCUCACCCCGAGUCAAUCUCCCCACAUAGUGGAUAAGAAAACUAAACUAACUCAACCACCAGGCUAAAUGUCUGUUCUCCACAGAACUGGCCCCACUGCCUGGCAGAAGCUUCCACCAAUGGGCCAAGGUGCUCCUCUUCCUCAGUCAACCUCACCUCUUUAUCACAUAUUGAGUAAAAAAAAAAAGAAAGAAAACCAAACACGCUGACUCAGCUCAACCCCUCCUAAGAUGAAUGUGUGCCCUCCAGAGACUUGGCCCCAACACUUGGCAGAAACUCUUGCCAACAGGCCAAAAGGUCCUCUUCCCCAGUCGAACAGAAGGCAUUGUGCCAUCUUUGGAAAAAGAUCCCCCCCAAGCACACCAACUCCCCUCAACAUCCAGGCUAAAUGUAGGCCCUCCACAGAUAGGGCUCCUGCAGGGCUCCCUGGCAGAAAGUUCCACCAAGGGGCCAGGGUACUCCUCUUCCCCAGUCGAUCUCAGCACAUUUUCCCUGAAAACUUGGGGGAAGAGAUGCCUCUCCAGCAUUCAUCAUGGUGUCAGCAGCUGGGCGGCCUGGAUAGUCCCUACCCUUAGAAGAGGCCAGUCUCUGGGCUGACCAAUGACCUCCCUUGCCUGCCAUGAGAGGUCAAACAGGAAGCCAUCCCACUCCAGUCAGCCCCUUCCUCCCUCAGGCUGCAGCACCUGCCUGCCACAGGCUUUAGGAACUCCUGCCAAAGGCCCCAGGAAGAAGAGGCUCAGCCACCCUUACAAAGGAAAAUUGCAAACACCAGUCCACCCUUUUCACCAGAUAGAUGAUGUGGAAAUUGAGAAUCAAGAAUUACCAAUUGAACAUGAAGUUCCAGCCAACAUUGUUCCCCAGGUCUCUGGGUCACUGGAUGCCCUGUUUGCUCAGUAUCUUGAACAUUAA